AAAACCGGGAAGUGCGCGGCUGCGACGGCGUCGGGCAGCGUGCUCGGCGGAGAAAACGCGCGCUCUAAUCCUCUCGACCAGAGGCUUUCCUCUGUCUCCGCCAAAAAACUCAAGCCCUCCGCAAGCCGGGAGGCUCCCGCGACAAGCGCGCCGUCCCCGGACCCGGUCGGACCGCGUGGCCGGGCUCGCAUUCCCGACGCGGCGGGACUGGAGGGCUGACAAACUGUUUUCGGUUUGCACACCCAGCCAUCCCCGCCGCGGAAUCUGCUCCAAGAAGAUGUCGUUAGGAAGUUACGGGCAGGACUGAUGCUUUGACCGCAGGAGGAUCCGGGCAAAGAUUUAUCUGGAAGUUUGUCUUGCACAACCCACUUCUGGAGUCCCGCGACACUCCAGACAAAAGGACGGGCUCUAAACCUAUCUCGAGAGUCCUCUGGACCUGCUGUUAGGACCCUAGUUCUCCUCACCUCGUCCAAAUGAACUCAGCAUUCGGAAACUUCUCGUCCCCACCUCCAUCCCCCACCCCGUUUUUGGUGAGCGACUUUUUAAAAGGGGGCUCGAGCUCGGAGAACAAGAAACGUAAUAGAAAAGCUAUCCCCGCGCUGUCACGCGUCCCCGCUCGUCUUCCAGCGGAAGCGUCGCUGUAGGGUGGCAGUGGUGUAUUUUUUUUUUUUAAUUACGCAAUUUAGGCGAAUGCAGUCCAAUCCAGAGCCGCUAGCUGUGUACGCGCUGAGCUUGGUAGAGUUCACCGUGGAAUUUGCUUUUCCAACAACGACCCCGGGGGAGAGCCCGGGCCUCUUUAGGCGGCGUCUUACCUCGCCCCUCGCCUCCCGGCGUCUUCGGCGACCGCUCAGUAGAUGCGGCGUCCCCAGCGCGGCACCCGAGCCCAGCCCAGCAGCGCGGGCUCUUCGCCUCCCUCUCCACCGUCCCCGCGCUUUUUAAAACUUUGGGCGCAGCUUUUGAGUGACUGUCCAGGAAUCAGUGCUCCUGCCCCACUUCAACUAGCGUACAAAUAAAUACCUUACCCCCGUUCACGUUUCAUAAAUUAGGAAAAGACAUCCAGCUUACAUUCCCCCAAAUUAGCUGUAUCCGACUCUGCAAUUCAUUUACCCUUCCAAGUUGGUGACACGAAAUUCUAUUCUCCAAACAAACCGUAAUGAUCAAUCCAACGUCCCUUUCUACUCCGUUUUAAAAGACUGAAGAAUUAAUGCCAGAGGAGAGCUAUCAACACUGCCGGAGAUUACAGAUUAAGCGAUAUCAGAGCCCCAUACCACCACUCUUUUACUAUCCCUCAUUCUGGGCGUGAUCCCUCUUCACUAAAAUCCUAGCCCAAAUGUAUUUUGUCCCCUACCCUUGAUUCUUUGAAAAUCUGUUUCCUAAAAUAGUAAACGUAACGUUUUAAAGACCUUCUAACGUCACCCUCCUCAUUGCAGUCCUAAGCGGCACACCAGCGCAGCUCAGCCCGCUCCUGAAGACUUCGAAGCAGGAAACCCAGCAAUCUUCCAAGUGGCACCUUCCCUGCUGGCCUAGAUGAACCUAGAAAGCAAGCAACUUCAAUGAAUGCAAACUAAGCUUUCCCGAGGAGAAACGUCAAAGCAGCUACAAUCAGUCUCUGAUUACACAAACAUACCUAGGGGCAGGUUGGAGUAAGGAGGGCUUUAGGGGUGGGGGUUGCCUACCCAGAGGUGGCUUAAACCAGUUCUCCUAUUGUUACUGAGUUUAGGAAAGCUAGCUUUUGUUUCGUGGUGGAUUUUGGGGAUCAAACCCGAGAUGCCAGCUAAACAUCCCUGAAGUCUUUGUAAGAGAACCUAACCCAAAGUUAGGACUUCAGUUCCUUUAAAUUAAGAUACUGAGUUAUGCAUAAUUAACGAUUCCAGUAGAGAAACAAUGCAGAAUUAUUUUGAAAUAUUGUAAAAGGAGGGUCGACAUGUGCGUCUAUCUGCCCAGUUUUGCGAGAGCUAAAUGCCACUCACGGGCCCCCUCUACCAAACCGGGAAGAGUGGCGACAGCGGGACUCCUUAGGUCAUGUCUUGGGACCCAAAGGUUUCGGACUCCCUCCAACCAUCCUUUUGGAGGAAGGAGGCUUACAGCUCUAACUCCCUCCCCAGCAAACAAACCAGAGAGAACUGAGGCCCUAUCUUUCCUGGGCCCAUCUGGAGACACACGCCUAGAAAGCAAAGCUCUUUCCCGCCUACCUAGUAGGUAGCGGUUGACGAGUGAUUGUGCACAGUGUCCAGGAACUCCCAGGCUAAGGGACGUCCAGCUCUCGAGGUUUACAGGCAAGGGGGACCUGAAGUGGAGGGAGGUGCAUUGUUUCCACAUGGCGUUUAGGUGGUAACAGCCCAAAAUAUAGCUUUCAUUGAGAGAGAAGAGCUACCCAGGCCCAGCUCUGCGCGCGGCGAGGGCCCGCUGGGAUUGGGCGGACGCGCGUCACGUGACCGGGCGCCGUGCCCUGGAGCCCCGCCCCUCCCUGGCGCUCACUCGGCGGUGCUGCAGCAGCCGGGAUUAGUCCCACUUUCACUUUCUGCACUGGGGCUUCACACCUGAGUGAUAUUGUUUUGUUUUCUUUUGUUUUUUGUUUUGUUUGAUUUUGAGAUGGCCAGUACAAAAAAGAGGCAGUCCAAAGAAAAAGAGCUCCAUGCGUUUCUGGAAGGGGGUGAUGAGCCGGGGAGGUCGGACGGGGGCUGUUCAGGGUCCGCGCUCCCGGGAGGACGAGGACCCGGAAAGCAGGUGUUUUCCCCAUUGCAAGGGCAACACUGAGCUCGCGCGUCCACAAAACGUUCUGCGAAAUUGUAAGGGCCUCCAGCAUCACAACCAAAAGUAGAAAGUAGUAGGGGCUUCACCCUCCGAGCGCUGACGUGGUGAUUUGUUUCUGAAGAAGGACUUGCUCCAGGUAGUUUAUUAGGGUAGCGAGAGCGAAGGGCCACCAAAGCUGGCUUGUCAUCCAACCUAGGAAACGGCACUCGCUGAAAAAACAAACUCACGAUGGCUUCCGUCUCACCUCUAACCUGUGGGGGACUGGACUGGACUCAGUUCAGUACGAGUGCAGGGAGAGGGCUGCGCGCCAGCUCUGGAUGAGCCCAGCCAGCGGUCCUAUGUCUGUACCUGUCCUUAUCGCUUAUCACUAACCGCCCUUAUCAGUCAUUAUCGCGGCUGGUCACUGACUAAAACAUUCUUCCAUAGUCCUAAAUAAGUUCACCUAUAGAAAGAAACCAUUCCAGAUCACUAACAUGAGCUUGGCCCAUUCAUUUGUUCUUACAUUUAUAUAACAGUGUUAUUUUACAUGUUGCACAUUUUCCAGUGCCUGACUUACUAGGUUCUGAAGCACAGCAGCAACCUGUGAACCAGUCAGGCUCUUUUGCCUACGGUGACCUUCAAGUGUCCAUCUGUAACAAGUCAGGGCAAGUUGCAAUAAAUAAUUGGAUCUUUGAAAGGAA
RNAcentral lists this long non-coding RNA (3434 nucleotides) under Homo sapiens (human). RNAcentral describes it as "non-protein coding lnc-ATG5-7:1". Lineage: Eukaryota; Metazoa; Chordata; Mammalia; Primates; Hominidae. The record is from RNAcentral.